UGGGGCGUAGUCAAGUGGUAAGGCAACGGGUUUUGGUCCCGCUAUUCGGAGGUUCGAUCCCUUCCGUCCCAGA
This 73-nucleotide transfer RNA is filed under the name Helicanthes elasticus. RNAcentral's name for it is "tRNA-Gln". It matches the Rfam family "tRNA". From Rfam's summary of the family: Transfer RNA (tRNA) molecules are approximately 80 nucleotides in length. The record is from RNAcentral. Lineage: Eukaryota; Viridiplantae; Streptophyta; Magnoliopsida; Santalales; Loranthaceae.